UACAGAGGAGCCAAGCGUUGUCCGGAUUGACUGGGCGUAAAGCGCACGCAGGCGGUCGGGCGCGUGGGGUGUGAAAUCUGGCCGCUUAACGGCCAGGCGCCAUCCCAUACGGCUCGACUGGAGUGAUGCAGAGGUCGAUGGAAUUGCCGGUGUAGUGGUGAAAUGCGUAGAUAUCUGGAGGAACACCGGUGGCGAAGGCGGCAUCCUGGACCAUUACUGACACUGAAAAGCGAAAGCCAGGGGAGCAAACGGG
Molecule: ribosomal RNA, 253 nt
Filed under: uncultured bacterium
Lineage: Bacteria
Description: partial 16S ribosomal RNA
Rfam family: Bacterial small subunit ribosomal RNA
Source: RNAcentral